AUUGAACGCUGGCGGCAUGCUUUACACAUGCAAGUCGAACGGUAACAGGGUGCUUGCACCGCUGACGAGUGGCGAACGGGUGAGUAAUGCGUCGGAACGUGCCGAGUAGUGGGGGAUAACGCAGCGAAAGUUGUGCUAAUACCGCAUACGUACUGAGGUAGAAAGUGGGGGACCUUCGGGCCUCACGCUAUUCGAGCGGCCGGCGUCUGAUUAGCUAGUAGGUGGGGUAAAGGCUCACCUAGGCGACGAUCAGUAGCGGGUCUGAGAGGAUGAUCCGCCACACUGGGACUGAGCCCCGGCCCAGACUCCUGCGGGAGGCAGCAGUGGGGAAUUUUGGACAAGGGGCGAAAGCCUGAUCCAGCCAUGCCGCGUGUCUGAAGAAGGCAUUCGGGUUGUAAAGGACUUUUGUCAGGGAGGAAAUCCCUAGUGCUAAUAACACUGGGGGAUGACAGUACCUGAAGAAUAAGCACCGGCUAACUACGUGCCAGCAGCCGCCGUAA
Molecule: ribosomal RNA, 500 nt
Filed under: uncultured bacterium
Lineage: Bacteria
Description: partial 16S ribosomal RNA
Rfam family: Bacterial small subunit ribosomal RNA
Source: RNAcentral